GAUGAACGCUAGCGGGAGGCCUAACACAUGCAAGCCGAGCGGUAUUGUUUCUUCGGAAAUGCGAGAGCGGCGUACGGGUGCGUAACACGUGUGCAACCUGCCUUUAUCUGGGGGAUAGCCUUUCGAAAGGAAGAUUAAUACUCCAUAAUAUAUUGAACGGCAUCGUUUAAUAUUGAAAGCUCCGGCGGAUAGAGAUGGGCACGCGCAAGAUUAGCUAGUUGGUGAGGUAACGGCUCACCAAGGCGAUGAUCUUUAGGGGGCCUGAGAGGGUGAUCCCCCACACUGGUAACGAGACACGGACCAGACUCCUACGGGAGGCAGCAGUGAGGAAGAUUGGUCAAUGGGUGCUAGCCUGAACCAGCCAUCCCGCGUGAAGGACGACUGCCCUAUGGGUUGUAAACUUCUUUUGUAUAGGGAUAAACCUACCCUCGUGAGGGUAGCUGAAGGUACUAUACGAAUAAGCACCGGCUAACUCCGUG
RNAcentral lists this ribosomal RNA (479 nucleotides) under uncultured bacterium. RNAcentral describes it as "partial 16S ribosomal RNA". It matches the Rfam family "Bacterial small subunit ribosomal RNA", at positions 28 to 507 of the family's 1533-position model. The record is from RNAcentral.